Molecule: ribosomal RNA, 507 nt
Filed under: uncultured bacterium
Lineage: Bacteria
Description: partial 16S ribosomal RNA
Rfam family: Bacterial small subunit ribosomal RNA
Source: RNAcentral
AUUGAACGCUAGCGGGAUGCUUUACACAUGCAAGUCGAACGGUAGCACGAAGAAAGCUUGCUUUCUUGGUGACGAGUGGCGAACGGGUGAGUAAUGUAUCGGAACGUACCCAGUAGCGGGGGAUAACUACGCGAAAGCGUGGCUAAUACCGCAUACGCCCUACGGGGGAAAGGGGGGGAUCGCAAGACCUCUCACUAUUGGAGCGGCCGAUAUCGGAUUAGCUAGUUGGUGGGGUAAAGGCCUACCAAGGCGACGAUCCGUAGCUGGUUUGAGAGGACGACCAGCCCCACUGGGACUGAGACACGGCCCAGACUCCUACGGGAGGCAGCAGUGGGGAAUUUUGGACAAUGGGAGCAACCCUGAUCCAGCCAUCCCGCGUGUGCGAUGAAGGCCUUCGGGUUGUAAAGCACUUUUGGCAGAGAAGAAACGACUCUGGAUAAUACCCGGGGUUAAUGACGGUAUCUGCAGAAUAAGCACCGGCUAACUACGUGCCAGCCGCCGCCGUAA